AAUUCUAUCACCAAAUCCAUUCUACUGGCCUCUUGAUGUUCUUAUGCUUAAAGUUAGUGGAACUAGAGAUUACAAUCAAAUGUCUCUGCCGAAACUUGUUGCAAUGCCUAUGAGUUAUUCUGUUCAAGCUAACCAAUUCUCAUCUCGGGGAAAUGUAGGACGGGUAGAUAAGAUAAUGGUUUUAUACCAUAGUGAGAUUGAUGUUGUGGCUAAAGUAUAUCUAUUAUGCUCUCACUUGCAAAUUUUGUCCGUUUUUUGGCCAUAGAGGCUGCACCAACCACGAA
This is a long non-coding RNA of Papaver somniferum (opium poppy), 284 nucleotides long. RefSeq lists it as uncharacterized. The record is from RefSeq and is a predicted model, not a curated record. The transcript is spliced from 3 exons. NCBI's taxonomy places the organism in Eukaryota, Viridiplantae, Streptophyta, Magnoliopsida, Ranunculales, Papaveraceae.